ACCACUCGGCAACGGAUAUCUUGGCUCUCGCAUCGAUGAAGAACAUAGUGAAAUGCGAUACCUAGUGUGAAUUGCAGAAUCCCGCGAACCAUCGAGUCUUUGAACUCAAGUUGCGCCCAGGCCACUCGGCCGAGGGCACGCCUGACUGGGCGUCA
RNAcentral lists this ribosomal RNA (155 nucleotides) under Triticum dicoccoides. Its description in RNAcentral is "rRNA 5_8S_rRNA". It matches the Rfam family "5.8S ribosomal RNA". From Rfam's summary of the family: 5.8S ribosomal RNA (5.8S rRNA) is a component of the large subunit of the eukaryotic ribosome. It is transcribed by RNA polymerase I as part of the 45S precursor that also contains 18S and 28S rRNA. Functionally, it is thought that 5.8S rRNA may be involved in ribosome translocation. The record is from RNAcentral. Lineage: Eukaryota; Viridiplantae; Streptophyta; Magnoliopsida; Poales; Poaceae.